Gadus morhua (Atlantic cod) is the source of this 224-nucleotide long non-coding RNA. RefSeq lists it as uncharacterized. NCBI's taxonomy places the organism in Eukaryota, Metazoa, Chordata, Actinopteri, Gadiformes, Gadidae. The record is from RefSeq and is a predicted model, not a curated record. The transcript is spliced from 3 exons.
CCUGGACAGAAAGAUUAAACAACAUUGUUUCUCCUCAGGAACUCCUAAUGAAGUCCUUCACCUCUAUCACUUCUGGAGGAGAACAUGACUGGAUCCUGGAGACUAUUCCUGCUCUGUUGUCUCCUGCAAGGUGAUGGAUGCAGCUCUGCAGGAUUUGAGGCCAUAAUGCCAGAUAGAGUGACGACAUUCAGUGGAUCCUGUGUUACCGUUCCUUGUUCCUUCAC